UAGUAUGAAUGGCAUCACGAGGGUUAAACUGUCUCCUUUUUCUAAUCAGUGAAACUAAUCUCCCCGUGAAGAAGCGGGGAUUAUUCUAUAAGACGAGAAGACCCUAUGGAGCUUAAAACAAACUUACACUUGCUUUUAUAUAUUAAACUUCCUGAACAUUCACAUAAACUAUAGCACAAAUGAUAAUUAGUUUUCGAUUGGGGUGAUCAUGGAGAAAAAAACAACCUCCACGACGAUAAGGGAGCCCCCCUGAGCCAAGAGCCACAACUUUAAGCACUAAAAAAUUAACGCACCUUGACCCAAUUACUUGAUCAACGAACCAAGUUACCCUAGGGAUAACAGCGCAAUCCACUUCAAGAGCUCCUAUCGACAAGUGGGCUUACGACCUCGAUGUUGGAUCA
RNAcentral lists this ribosomal RNA (401 nucleotides) under Boana sp. e AF-2020. RNAcentral describes it as "partial large subunit ribosomal RNA". It matches the Rfam family "Bacterial large subunit ribosomal RNA", at positions 1988 to 2539 of the family's 2925-position model. The record is from RNAcentral. Lineage: Eukaryota; Metazoa; Chordata; Amphibia; Anura; Hylidae.